ACAUGGAGCUCCCUAAUGGGCUGUACUUGGGUGAUAAAAGUGGUGCUCCAAGUGCCAAAGAAGGGUGGGAUUGGGAUUAAGAAAUGAGCAGUGAUGGUGCAAUUGGCUGUUUUCUCUGGAAUGUGACUGUAAGAGCUGCAGGAGUGCAAGGUGUGUGUUCCAGUCCCCAGCAUUUGGUUUGCACAUGUCCUGCUCAGACACAGGUCCAACUUCCUCAGUCCUUAACGCAAUAGAGGGAGAAUUAAGGACUGGCAGUGUUAAGGUGAUUGGUGUGAGAGGGUUUAAACUGGGAAAACAUUGGGUAAUUCCCAAGUUUGUCUCUUUGUCAAACUGACCCAAACCUGUGCUAGGAAGAGAUGGAGUGGAAAAGUUGAGGCAGCAAUGAAAUGGAAAACUGGGGCUAUUGACACUGUAAUUGCUGAAACUAAAUGUGUCCAAGCAGCAGCUCUUGUUGUGCAGGGAAUAACUCCUGUCAGCAGCAAGGUCCCGACUGAAGUGGCAGCUGCAGUUGUUCCUGUGGUGUGGGCCAGUGGAAUUGCAGGAGAGUGGAAGAGGCAGAAGCUGUAGGUAUUACCCCUGAUGUGGGAUCUCUCCUGGAGAAAAUGGGGAAGCAGGAAGGAAGAAGAGAAGCCACGUGACUCCUCCCUGAGCCCCAGACAGCCCAGGAACUGCCUCCCUGGGAAUGGUGGGACGGGCUGGACUCUGGAAUGCUCCCUCUGGAUGUGUGACUCUCCCCUGCAGGAACUCCAGGACUCCUGGUGCCGCCUGGGCCGAUGGAUUGGACGCCCCAGCCCCUCCGUUCCUGCCCAGCCCCUGGGGCCGUGUCGAGUGGUGGCACUGCCAGCCCCUGCAGGUGAAGGGGAAAGGGCCUUUGCAGGUCUUGUGGGUCACAUUUAUAGCAGGUAAAGUGGCAGAAAAAGGCCCUGGGGUCUGUUAUUCUUGAGUUAAGAAAGCUCCUUUGGAUUGGUGAGCAGAACAAAGUGGAUCCUUCAGAGU
Molecule: long non-coding RNA, 996 nt
Organism: Corapipo altera (White-ruffed manakin)
Lineage: Eukaryota; Metazoa; Chordata; Aves; Passeriformes; Pipridae
Exons: 3
Source: RefSeq, a predicted model, not a curated record